AUUGAACGCUGGCGGCAUGCUUUACACAUGCAAGUCGAACGGCAGCGCGGGCUUCGGCCUGGCGGCGAGUGGCGAACGGGUGAGUAAUACAUCGGAACGUGCCCAGUAGUGGGGGAUAGCUCGGCGAAAGCCGGAUUAAUACCGCAUACGACCUGAGGGUGAAAGCGGGGGAUCUUCGGACCUCGCGCUAUUGGAGCGGCCGAUGGCAGAAUAGCUAGUUGGUGGGGUAAAGGCCUACCAAGGCGACGAUCUGUAGCUGGUCUGAGAGGACGACCAGCCACACUGGGACUGAGACACGGCCCAGACUCCUACGGGAGGCAGCAGUGGGGAAUUUUGGACAAUGGGCGAAAGCCUGAUCCAGCAAUGCCGCGUGUGUGAUGAAGGCCUUCGGGUUGUAAAGCACUUUUGGCGGGAACGAAAAGGACUGUGCCAAUACCACGGUUCGAUGACGGUACCCGCAGAAUAAGCACCGGCUAACUACGU
Molecule: ribosomal RNA, 483 nt
Filed under: uncultured bacterium
Lineage: Bacteria
Description: partial 16S ribosomal RNA
Rfam family: Bacterial small subunit ribosomal RNA
Source: RNAcentral